CCUACGGGAGGCAGCAGUGAGGAAUAUUGGUCAAUGGGCGCGAGCCUGAACCAGCCAAGUAGCGUGAAGGAUGACGGCCCUCCGGGUUGUAAACUUCUUUUAUAACGGAAUAAAGGUAUGCACGUGUGGCUAUUUGCAUGUACUUUAUGAAUAAGGCUCGGCUAACUCCGUGCCAGCAGCCGCGGUAAUACGGAGGAUCCGAGCGUUAUCCGGAUUUAUUGGGUUUAAAGGGUGCGUAGUUGGGUUGUUAAGGUAGAUGUGAAAGUUUGCGGCUCAACCGUAAAAUUGCAAUUGAUACUGGCAGUCUUGAGUGCAGUUGAGGUAGGCGGAAUUCGUGGUGUAGCGGUGAAAUGCAUAGAUAUCACGAAGAACUCCGAUGGCGAAGGCAGCUUACUAAACCGCAACUGACAUUGAUGCACGAAAGCGUGGGGAUCAAACAGGAUUAGAUACCCGAGUAGUC
This 460-nucleotide ribosomal RNA is filed under the name uncultured bacterium. RNAcentral's name for it is "partial 16S ribosomal RNA". It matches the Rfam family "Bacterial small subunit ribosomal RNA", at positions 338 to 795 of the family's 1533-position model. The record is from RNAcentral.